This 238-nucleotide long non-coding RNA is filed under the name Apteryx rowi (Okarito brown kiwi). Its description in RNAcentral is "lncRNA (ENSARWG00000004686.1)". Lineage: Eukaryota; Metazoa; Chordata; Aves; Apterygiformes; Apterygidae. The record is from RNAcentral.
AUGUCUUGCCCUCCAGUCCUCAAUAAUCUUGUGGCCCUCCACUGGACUCAUUUCAGUAUGUCAAUGUCUGUCUUGUACUGGGAAGCCCAAAACUGGCACAGUAUGAUCUUUCAUCCAAGUUUGGUUCAAGAGCAGUGCAGAAAGUUUUUGAUAGCCUUCUCCAAUCAAAAGAAGUCACACUUGUUGGCCUGAUGCAGGUAUAAAUAAAAGAUCCUGGAACAGUGUUGGAUUAUCUGGC